ACCGACACAGCGACGCGGAACGGUUAGAGAAGGAUAAGCCGAUAAGCUGGGCUGCUUUCCCGAAGGAGAAAAAGCGCACCACCUUUAGCUUUUUCCCGGGGCUUGUCGUAUUAUUAUUUUUUUAUUACUUUAUUAGCUCUUGUCGCUGAGCAUUGGGCAUCUUUGUGCACACGUUUGUAGGUGGGUUUUAUCUGUUCCCACCGCACGCGCC
This 211-nucleotide long non-coding RNA is filed under the name Elaeis guineensis (African oil palm). Its description in RNAcentral is "long non-coding RNA (EGUI_LNC011822)". Lineage: Eukaryota; Viridiplantae; Streptophyta; Magnoliopsida; Arecales; Arecaceae. The record is from RNAcentral.